This 492-nucleotide ribosomal RNA is filed under the name uncultured bacterium. RNAcentral describes it as "partial 16S ribosomal RNA". It matches the Rfam family "Bacterial small subunit ribosomal RNA", at positions 29 to 507 of the family's 1533-position model. The record is from RNAcentral.
AGUGAACGCUGGCGGUAGGCCUAACACAUGCAAGUCGAACGGCAGCACAGUAAGAGCUUGCUCUUACGGGUGGCGAGUGGCGGACGGGUGAGGAAUACAUCGGAAUCUACUUUUUCGUGGAGGAUAACGUAGGGAAACUUACGCUAAUACCGCAUACGACCUACGGGUGAAAGCAGGGGAUCUUCGGACCUUGCGCGAUUGAAUGAGCCGAUGUCGGAUUAGCUAGUUGGCGGGGUAAAGGCCCACCAAGGCGACGAUCCGUAGCUGGUCUGAGAGGAUGAUCAGCCACACUGGAACUGAGACACGGUCCAGACUCCUACGGGAGGCAGCAGUGGGGAAUAUUGGACAAUGGGCGCAGGCCUGAUCCAGCCAUACCGCGUGGGUGAAGAAGGCCUUCGGGUUGUAAAGCCCUUUUGUUGGGAAAGAAAAGCAGCAGGUUAAUACCCCGCUGUUCUGACGGUACCCAAAGAAUAAGCACCGGCUAACUUCGUG